UACGUAGGGGGCAAGCGUUGUCCGGAUUUAUUGGGCGUAAAGGGCGUGUAGGCGGUUUGGUAGGUCCGUUGUGAAAACUCGAGGCUCAACCUCGAGACGCCGAUGGAAACCAUCAGACUAGAGUCCGGAAGAGGAGAGUGGAAUUCCUGGUGUAGCGGUGAAAUGCGCAGAUAUCAGGAAGAACACCCGUGGCUAAGGCGGCUCUCUAGUACGGUACUGACGCUGAGACGCGAAAGCGUGGGGAGCAAACAGG
Molecule: ribosomal RNA, 253 nt
Filed under: uncultured bacterium
Lineage: Bacteria
Description: partial 16S ribosomal RNA
Rfam family: Bacterial small subunit ribosomal RNA
Source: RNAcentral